AUUGAACGCUGGCGGCAGGCCUAACACAUGCGAGUCGAGCGGAUGAAGGGAGCUUGCUCCUGGAUUCAGCGGCGGACGGGUGAGUAAUGCCUAGGAAUCUGCCUGGUAGUGGGGGAUAACGUCCGGAAACGGGCGCUGAUACCGCAUACGUCCUGAGGGAGAAAGUGGGGGAUCUUCGGACCUCACGCUAUCAGAUGAGCCUAGGUCGGAUUAGCUAGUUGGUGGGGUAAAGGCCUACCAAGGCGACGAUCCGUAACUGGUCUGAGAGGAUGAUCAGUCACACUGGAACUGAGACACGGUCCAGACUCCUACGGGAGGCAGCAGUGGGGAAUAUUGUACAUUGGGCGAAAGCCUGAUCCAGCCAUGCCGCGUGUGUGAAGAAGGUCUUCGGAUUUUAAAGCACUUUAAGUUGGGAGGAAGGGCAGUAAGUUAAUACCUUGCUGUUUUGACGUUACCAACAGAAUAAGCACCGGCUAACUUCGUG
Molecule: ribosomal RNA, 484 nt
Filed under: uncultured bacterium
Lineage: Bacteria
Description: partial 16S ribosomal RNA
Rfam family: Bacterial small subunit ribosomal RNA
Source: RNAcentral